Molecule: non-coding RNA, 73 nt
Organism: Salmo salar (Atlantic salmon)
Lineage: Eukaryota; Metazoa; Chordata; Actinopteri; Salmoniformes; Salmonidae
Source: Rfam
GUCCCUGUGGCUCAGUUGGUAGAGCAUGGUGUUUGCAAUGCCAGGGUUGUGGGUUCGAUUCCCACGGGGGGCC